Molecule: ribosomal RNA, 502 nt
Filed under: uncultured bacterium
Lineage: Bacteria
Description: partial 16S ribosomal RNA
Rfam family: Bacterial small subunit ribosomal RNA
Source: RNAcentral
AUUGAACGCUGGCGGCAGGCUUAACACAUGCAAGUCGAGCGGAGUGAUGGUGCUUGCACUAUCACUUAGCGGCGGACGGGUGAGUAAUGCUUAGGAAUCUGCCUAUUAGUGGGGGACAACAUCUCGAAAGGGAUGCUAAUACCGCAUACGUCCUACGGGAGAAAGCAGGGGAUCUUUAUGACCUUGCGCUAAUAGAUGAGCCUAAGUCGGAUUAGCUAGUUGGUGGGGUAAAGGCCUACCUAGGCGACGAUCUGUAGCGGGUCUGAGAGGAUGAUCCGCCACACUGGGACUGAGACACGGCCCAGACUCCUACGGGAGGCAGCAGCGGGGAAUAUUGGACAAUGGGGGGAACCCUGAUCCAGCCAUGCCGCGUGUGUGGAGAAGGCCUUAUGGUUGUAAAGCACUUUAAGCGAGGAGGAGGCUUACCUAGUUAAUACCUGGGAUAAGUGGACGUUACUCGCAGAAUAAGCACCGGCUAACUCUGUGCCAGCCGCCGCAGUAA